CCUACGGGGGGCAGCAGUGAGGAAUAUUGGUCAAUGGGCGAGAGCCUGAACCAGCCAAGUAGCGUGAAGGAUGACUGCCCUACGGGUUGUAAACUUCUUUUCUCACGGAAUAAAGUGAAGCACGUGUGCCUUUUUGUAUGUACUUUAUGAAUAAGGAUCGGCUAACUCCGUGCCAGCAGCCGCGGUAAUACGGAGGCGCCGAGCGUUAUCCGGAUUUAUUGGGUUGAAAGGGAGCGUAGAUGGGUUGUUAAGUCAGUUGUGAAAUUUUGCGGCUCAACCGUAAAAUUGCAAUUGAUACUGGCAGCCUUGAGUACAGUUGAGGUAGGCGGAAUUCGUGGUGUAGCGGUGAAAUGCUUAGAUAUCACGAAGAACUCCGAUUGCGAAGGCAGCUUACUAAACUGCCACUGACAUUGAUGCUCGAAAGUGUGGGUAUCAAACAGGAUUAGAUACCCCGGUAGUC
This 460-nucleotide ribosomal RNA is filed under the name uncultured bacterium. RNAcentral's name for it is "partial 16S ribosomal RNA". It matches the Rfam family "Bacterial small subunit ribosomal RNA", at positions 338 to 795 of the family's 1533-position model. The record is from RNAcentral.